UACGGGAGGAGCGAGCAUUAUUCAUAUUGAUUUGGCGUAAAGGGUUUGUAGGUUGUUUUUUUAGUUGAAAAAAACAUUCAAGAGUAUUCCUUUUGUAAUUUUUUCAAAACGAUAAAACUUGAGUCUAGAUAGAGGGUAAUGGAACUCCUAUUGUAGGAAUAAAAUCCUUUAAUAAUAGGAAGAAGGUCGAAAGCGAAGGCAAUUACCUGGGCUAGCACUGACACUGAGAAACGAAAGCUUGGGUAGCGAACGGG
RNAcentral lists this ribosomal RNA (254 nucleotides) under uncultured bacterium. RNAcentral's name for it is "partial 16S ribosomal RNA". It matches the Rfam family "Bacterial small subunit ribosomal RNA", at positions 524 to 776 of the family's 1533-position model. The record is from RNAcentral.